GGCAUGCCUAAUACAUGCAAGUCGAGCGAAUGACGAAGAAGCUUGCUUCUUCUGAUUUAGCGGCGGACGGGUGAGUAACACGUGGGCAACCUGCCCUGUAGAUUGGGAUAACUCCGGGAAACCGGGGCUAAUACCGAAUAAUCCAUUUCCUCACAUGGGGAGAUGUUAAAAGACGGUUUCGGCUGUCACUACAGGAUGGGCCCGCGGCGCAUUAGCUAGUUGGUGAGGUAACGGCUCACCAAGGCGACGAUGCGUAGCCGACCUGAGAGGGUGAUCGGCCACACUGGGACUGAGACACGGCCCAGACUCCUACGGGAGGCAGCAGUAGGGAAUCUUCCACAAUGGACGAAAGUCUGAUGGAGCAAUGCCGCGUGAGUGAAGAAGGUUUUCGGAUCGUAAAACUCUGUUGUGAGGGAAGAACAAGUACGAGAGUAACUGCUCGUACCUUGACGGUACCUCAUUAGAAAGCCACGGCUAAC
Molecule: ribosomal RNA, 479 nt
Filed under: Bacillus sp. 234-3.1-LH-Heh(h)-01
Lineage: Bacteria; Bacillati; Bacillota; Bacilli; Caryophanales; Bacillaceae
Description: bacterial SSU rRNA
Rfam family: Bacterial small subunit ribosomal RNA
Source: RNAcentral